RNAcentral lists this long non-coding RNA (200 nucleotides) under Crocodylus porosus (Australian saltwater crocodile). Its description in RNAcentral is "lncRNA (ENSCPRG00005001500.1)". The record is from RNAcentral. Lineage: Eukaryota; Metazoa; Chordata; Crocodylia; Crocodylidae.
GCAGGGAUGCCCAGCAUAUGGCCCAUGCAGUCCAGCUACUUGGUAUGAUGUUACCUGUCAAGACUUGAAUUUUUGACUCUGGAUCAUGUUUACCCCCCCUCCGGAGGGUGUCACAAAGGAUUAUGGCACGACUCAUCCCUGAACAGGUAGGAGCAAUUCCUACGCAUUGCAAGAAAUAACAAAAAUAAGGUCACAAAAAC